Molecule: long non-coding RNA, 5502 nt
Organism: Gambusia affinis (western mosquitofish)
Lineage: Eukaryota; Metazoa; Chordata; Actinopteri; Cyprinodontiformes; Poeciliidae
Exons: 3
Source: RefSeq, a predicted model, not a curated record
GUAGGUUCUGAAAAAGAAGCUGGUACCAAGAAGCCAUUGAUUGAGGGAAACCUGUAUAAACGAGUAGAGUCAGCACUAGGAGAGAUGGGCUAUUAUCUAAUCUCUUACAUCUCAUUAAUUUGUUUUGACCAAUAAUCAAGAAAUCUUUCUACUUGCAGAGAAAGGUAAAAACUCACUGUUUGUGGCUCAUGACACUGGGGACUACAUGGACUUCAUCACACCUGGCCAGCCCUAUAACUUCUCCGCCUUCGUGGUGCUGCUGCCUGCCUCUCUCAGUGGCAUGGAAGUGGCAUCUGCGGACAUCCACCAUCAAUCCUCUGGUCUCAUGUAUGAAACGUGUGCGUUUUCAUGAGGUAAGUGUGCAGUUUCAUGUCUUAUAUUUGUGUUUGUGUUGGUUGUUGGCCCGGGAGGUGAGGACGUCCUCGUGUUUCUCUGGCUGCCAACAAUGCAGGUGUAACCCAGGAUUUAAAAAACACAAGUAAAACACAAUAUAUGUUGAUUUAAUGUCUUCUUUUACAAUAAGAGUUAAAAAGUAUCCAUUGAUCUUCCGCUUAUCCGGGGUCGGGUCAUGGGGUAGCAGCUUCAGAAGGGAGGCCCAGACUUCCCUCUCCAGUCUCUUCUUCCAGCUCCUCCGGAGGAAUCCCAAGGCGUUCCCAGGCCAGCAGAGAGACAUUGUCCCUCCAGCGUGUCCUGGGUCUUCCCCGGGGUCUCCUCCCGGUGGGACAUGCCCGGAACACUUCACCAGGGAGGCGUCCAGGAGGCAUCCUGACCAGAUGCCCGAGCCACCUCAACUGGCCCCUCUCGACAUGGAGGAGCAGCGGCUCUACUCUGAGUCCCUCCCAGAUGACUGAGCUUCUCUCUCUAAGGGAGAGCCCAGACACUCUGCGGAGAAAACCCAUUUCGGUGCGGUGGUCCCCAACCUUUUUAUUACCACGGACCGGUCAAGACUUGGCAAUUUUGCUGCGGCCCAGAGGGAGGAGGAGGGAGACCGUCAGAUAAUGCUUCUGCAUUUUGCCGUUCCAACUAAAGCCCUUUUUAUGCCCUGAUUUUUACUUUACGAUAAUCUUACAAUGUCUUGCAGUGUGAGGUGUGUUACUUGGUGGUGUUUUUGAAUAUGUCCAAUCUGUGGCUCUUUGGUAGAGUAGUCUUCUUGCAUUUGGAAGGUUGUAGGUUCGAUUCCAGUUUCCUCCUGCCACAUGUUGAUGUUCCUCUGGGCAAAGCACUUAAUCCCAAACUGCCUACCGUAUCGGUGUAUACAUAGAACGGACAUAUUUAAUUAUUUCUUGCGUGGCCCAGUACCAAUUGGUCCACGUGGACUGGUACCGUGGGCCCAUGGUGGCACAACUGGCGUAAAGUUGUGCUGUAGCUUUAAAAAAAAAUUCAGGUUUGAGUGUCUGAGUCCUUCCUGCUAAGUCAGAGUUAGCUUUCCGAUAGCGUUGAAUUCACUCCAUGAGAGACUGGCAUGUUCGACUAAUGAUUCCAAAUUGGUGCCUCAGUUAAACUUAAAGAAAUCAUCUCAUUAGUAAUUUUGUUGACAUUAAAUUAUUGAUCCUAAUUAUUAAUAAUCACACAAGCCAAAAAUUGGUGCGAUGCCUGAUUCCUAACAAUAGUUUGUUCUGCAGGUUAUUUGACCAAUUGACUAGACUAGAAAACUUAAUGUCUCAGUAAAACCUGCAACGUUUAUGGUGGCAGUCUUCUCCUGAUGUUUGGGAACAUCUGCCAGGUAAUCAGGAUAAGUCAGCCAGGUAGGCAAAUCAGUGGAAGAUAAAAGCCACCAAAAUCAAAUGUAGAUUUUAUUGAAACUAAAAGAUAGAACAAUAAAAAUCUGACCUGUAGUAACAAAUGUUUGCAUAUUUAAACAUUUAUCAACCAAAUCUAAAAAGAAUUUCAAUGCCGAGUUCUUCAGGGCCGAUGCCUCGACUCUUCCAGUUCAUUCUGCCUGAAAUGGUUGGUUCUCAUUUACACAAAGGUUCCUACAACAACAGCUUCACACCAGGUCUGAAAAAAGAAAAAAUAUUCAUAAAAUCCUAAAUUCAACGCAAUGGGUAUGUCAACAGGUGGGGUGGACCACCAGAGGGCGCCACUGAGGAAUGUCAUGAUGGAGGCUGCGUUCACGUUUGUUCUGGUUUUAAAAAUAAAAUCUGUUGUCUCUCAGUCCGAAUGUCUGUCCACAGGAAGUCAAGCAAAGGCAUCACCUCCGCUGAUUGGACAGCCUGCUGCGGAGGGGCGGGACUUUGGAUAGCACCCUGUGAGGGGGGGCUGUCAUGGUCAUCACACUCUUCCUGUUUGGAGAUAGACUUGUUGCCAUGGUGAUGGCAGGUAAGGUGGGGGACGGGAUCCCUGUAGAAGUCACCAAAACUGGAGGUGGGCUGGUGGUUGCCAUAGAAACAGGCUUGGCUAGGGAGGUCUGGAUGUCCGCCCGGCGAGCCAACGCAGCCCUCAGCUUCUCCCGCAUCUGAUCAAUCUGCUGCUGCAGCGCCGCCAAUUCUGCAGGAAGGGGCGUGGCCACCACCGGAAGGGGCGUAGCCGUAUCGGGAACGGGCGGGGUUGCAUCAGGAAGGGGUUGGGAUAUUAUUGGAAUGGGAGGAGUAACACCAGGAAGGGGCGGGGCAUUGGUCCUCACAGAGGAAGAGGAGGGCAGUGAGAGCACCAGACUGGCCAAUGAAGCUGCCGGUCCCCCAUUCUCACAUAGCCGGCUGCUUGGCCCCGCCCCUGGUUUCAUGGGUCCCGCCCUGUCACCCUUAGCCCCGCCCCCCUUCGCCUCUGAGACCGCCAGGCGGGCCAGCAGGCGCCGUGUGUUCAGGGUCUCCAGACUGAAGUGAACUCGCUUGAAGUCUCGAGCAUCUGCAGCAGCUGGAGUUUCCUUCCUGGACUCGUCGUCCCACCUGGCAGCGGGUACUGAGGGUCCCGGGGGUACCCAGGGACUCGCGGGGCCCUGCCCUGCCUGGGUCUUCUCCAGGUUACAGCUAAACAGAAACAGGCAGAUUUUAUUCUCUUCAUUUACUGAUCUAUAACAUUUUCUGCUCAGUUCAGAUUAAAACUGACACAAAAACAUGGAGAUAAAGUAAAAAGAACAACAAAAAAAUGAAACUAAAUACAAACUAAAAUAUAAAUAUAAAGUUCAACCAAAUAAGAAAGUCAAAAAUAUAAAGUCAGUUAUUAGUAUAAAAGGACAAAAUAUAUUAAUAUAGGUUCCAAAGAUAUGUGUUUGUUAAGCAGGCUUAAAAGUAUGCAGAUAAAUUUUAAAAUUCUUAAAAAUGUUUAUGAUUUUAUUCUGGGUCCCAUCAGAGCCAGAACCUUUUCUCCCUCUCGGCCCGCUGCCUCUUCACAUCGUCGUACGUCAGAUUCAACGCUCGGUGGAUCUUCUGUGGGAAAGAAAUCAGGAACUCAGUUCUCCGUUCAAGGAACAUGAAGUUCUUCUCUGAGGUGACAUCAUGACUCACCUGGGACGUGUGCAGCCAGUACUUCAGGUUCUGCCGGCGCCAUGCGGCAGGAUGAGUUGGUAAAACCCGUGUUCACCUGCGAGGGUCAGCAGAGCUCCGCCCACUCCGACGCACAGCAACACGAAGAGUCCAGAGAAGUGACUGAUGCCCAUCUGCAGAGUCUGACACAGACAGCAGUUUCCCAGUCAGCCUGCAGGGGGCGGUGUCAAGUCGGUAACCCCUAACCCUCACCAUGCAGUAGGACACUGAACGCACCAUGCAUGAGGGUCAACAAACGUGUUGAUCCCUACACAGGUAAACAAAAAUCUGUUUAUUUGGAUCCCCAUUAGCUGUCUCCAUGACAACAGCUACUCUUCCUUAUAGAUAAAUAGAUACUUUAUUCAUCCUCAGGGAAAUUGUAGUUCAGUCUCCCACACAGCACCAAUACAUCAAAUACUCAAACAAUUAACCCUAACCCUGCUCAGACUGACCUCGGUCACGGCGAACACUCGGUUCCCACAGGGAACCACCUUGUACCACUUGUCGUGCAGCAGGUCCAUGUAGCCGUCGGACUUGUACCUGCUGAUGAACUCGGACAGGUUGGAGCUCAGCGGAGAGUUCUGGGGGAGUCCGAUGCCAUAACCUGUCGGAGACAGACGGAAACGUUUGUUUCCAUGGUUAUUUUGAGACUUUGAAUGAACUGAUUACAGAACAUGAAUUGAAGAAACAGAUUCUUCAGUUCGUUUUCUUGGUUCAUUUAAGGUUGAAAAUGAAUGUGAAGGUAAACUUGAAAUUCAAUCGAUAUCUACAUCUUUUCCACCUGCCUCAAUUAUCUAUUCAUCACUACCAAUUAAACUUCCCUCUGUUAUUACAAAUCCUAUAGUGCUCUCUACACUUAAGAUCUGGUCACAAUUUAGGUCCCAUUUUAAAUUUAUGUCUCCCUCUAAUAAAAUGCCGUUUCCAAAUUAGACAUUGUGUUUCUUCGUUGUUCCCAAAUUUUCCAACUCUUCCUGUUGACCCACUAUGGGUCGACCUACUAGUUUUGAAACCCAAUCUGAAAUCACCAUUUCUAAUAUAUAUGGAAAGCUUAUGGGAAUUGAUCCCGACUCAUCGGGUAAAUCCAGAACUCUUUGGGAACGUGAAUUGGGUGUUGAACUGUCUGAUUCAUGGUGGGAUAAAGUUAUUCUCAGUAUACGCCAAAGCACUCCAUGUGCCAGGUUACAGCUUGUACAGUUUAAAGUGAUAAACAGAGUCCACUUCUCAAAAUCCCGUCUUUCUAAAGUUUUUCCUUCGAUUUUGGACCAGUGUGACCGGUGCCGGACCUCUCCCUGCAACUUAAGUCGUAUGUUUUUCUUUUGCCCGAGUUUACAAAAAUGUUGGGACUGUGUCUUUUCCACACUCUCAGGGGUUUUUGGAAUCCAGAAUUAAUCUGUCGUCCUGCAGGGGGAGCUCUAGGCUUUCUGUUCUCUGCUUGCCAGACGCUGCAUUUUACUCUGCUGGAAAUCUCCUAUACCUCCAUCUACUUCUCAAUGGCUUAAUACUGUUAGAUCAGGUUUAAGGAUAGAAAAGAUUCUAUUAACAGUAAAAGGUAAUUCAGCAAAAUUUACUCAAAAGUGGGCACCUCUUAUGACAUUCAUAAAAUCUCUGCCUUUAAAAUGUAUAGAUUGAUGUGACUGACCCAUCGUGUCGUGACUUAAAUUUACAGAAUAAUUUAGUGAAAUGUUGUUGCCUCUUAGCUUCUCAAUGCCGUCCAAACCUCCCUCCAAGCCACCCCUAUUUUUUAUUUAUUAUUUAUUUUAAUUAAUUUAUUUAUUUUUUGGUUGUUAAUGUAUUCUUUUUUUAUGUAAUUAUACUUAUUUGGUCUCGUUUUUGUUAUGUCAAUACAGGGAAUUAUGUUCGCUACGGGGAAAGGGAAGGGAAGAGGAAAAGAAGGGGGAAAGGAGAGAAGGAAGAAGGAAGGGAAAAAAAACUAAAAAAGAAAACAAAAAAUUAUGUAAGCUUUGUAAAACGUAUGUAAUAUCAAUAUAUGUAUGAUCUCCUGAUGAACAAAUAAAAGAUGCGCAGCAAAAAAAAAAGAAAA